Long non-coding RNA from Cyanistes caeruleus (blue tit), 1579 nucleotides. RefSeq lists it as uncharacterized. The record is from RefSeq and is a predicted model, not a curated record. Lineage: Eukaryota; Metazoa; Chordata; Aves; Passeriformes; Paridae.
GAGCGCGGGGGAGCGGCGGGGCUGGGCCGCCCUGUGAGGGAAGCUCUAGUUGGCUAUGACCGUGUGUUUGCCCAGAAAUGGGGCCGGCUCAAUGUACACCUAAUGCCCGGGGUGUGCUCUGCCUCGUUGCUUUGCUCUCUAGUGAUUUUGAGGGGGGAAUUACCGUGCGGCCGGGCUGGCUGCACGCCCGCGGGGCGGCUCUCCGGGAGCCGCCCCGGUACCGGGGGGACAGCCCCUGCACCUGGAUAACCUGCGCUGUUCCUGUCCGCAGGGACACUGAAUGUAGCUUCUGUAAGUGAUUAUUCCUAACAGGAGAGAAAGUGUAGGAAGUUUUCACUUUCACAUAAUGGAGUAAAUCAGCAUCAGAAAACAAGAGAAGAUUGAGGUGAAGAGAAAACAAAAACAAAAGCGAGGAAGAAAGCAUCAGAAAAAAGAGUGAGCUGUAACAAGAAGCUGCACGCCAGCGUGUGAUCGCUGUGACCUGGGCGAAAGAAAUGCUCGAAGCUGCAUCUCAGUAAAAAUUCCCCCACUAGUGGGUGCAGUCGCUGCCCUCGAUUUGCGAUAAAUGCAGCUAUUCAGUUCCGUUGAGGCUCCAGAGAGGCGAAACAGCAGAUUGUACCCGAAAAUGGAGAGACAUAACUGAGCCUUCUCCUUUUACACCUUCCCAUCCAUUCCUUUCACCCCAAAAAAAUGCAUGUAAAGAAGAAUAAAACAGCAUGCACCAAUCAAUCCGGCCAUGAGAAAGAGUUCUUGGGCUUAGUCUGGCAGGGAGUGGCUUGUCAGGGGAUCGAAGGUAUUGCCUUUGGCGAUUGAUGACUGUUCAGAGAAACAGAACUUUACAGAUAUUCUCGUUUAUUCAAAGCAAACCACAGCCAACAAACAAAACUCUUCAACAGCAAGGGUUUGUUUCAAAGAAUUGUCACUGCAGAACCUACUUGUUUCUCCAGCUUCUACAACCAGCAAGACCUAAUUCUGUUCCCUAAUUGUUCCAGUCCUACGUGUGCACUGCUGAACAGCCCGAGGUGACAGAUGUGGUCUGGCUGAGGCCAGGGCACUGAACUCUUUAUUGCCUUUGCAUUAACCAAAGGAUGUAAUCUGGAGUUUGAAGUGGCUUUAUGACAUUUUGUGCUUGUUAUUUGAGUACGGACAAUAUCUGAUCAGUUACGUGUUUCUUUUUUGUUAGAAAUUAAUUAUUUUAAAAUUCACCAAAACUUGAGGGAAGUGAGGUCCCCACAACUGUCAGUGUUGAGCCCAUGCCCAUGUAUCCCACCAGGUGCUCAAUAGCUUGAUGAGGGUUCAGGUCCUCAUGUGGACUCUGUGUGUUACCCCAAGCUGUGUGAAUCCCCCACCUAUUUCUUUUCCAUUGCCAUCUGUAAUGGACUCAUGCAUUUUCUCUAAUUUGUGACCUCCAUUUCCCUGUCCCCCCUCUCAAAUGUCCCUGCAAAUGUUGUGCCCUUUUUGCUUUGAAAACCUAUUUUUCUAUCUUAGCAGAAGAUGUCAGCUUGCUUCUGAAGUCCUGUUACACCAAAAGACAUGGUACAUUAUCAAAAUAGUCCAUCUCCAUUAAAAUAAUGAUCUA